CAAUAGCGUAUAUUAAAGUUGUUGCGGUUAAAAAGCUCGUAGUUGGAUUUCUGCCGAGGACGACCGGUCCGCCCUCCGGGUGAGCAUCUGGCUCGGCCUAGGCAUCUUCUUGGGGAGCGUAUCUGCACUUCAUUGUGUGGUGCGGUAUCCAAGACUUUUACUUUGAGGAAAUUAGAGUGUUUCAAGCAGGCCCACGCCUUGAAUACAUUAGCAUGGAAUAAUAAGGUAGGACCUCGGUUCUAUUUUGUUGGUUUCUAGAAUUGAGGUAAUGAUUAAUAGGGAUAGUUGGGGGCAUUCGUAUUUAACUGUCAGAGGUGAAAUUCUUGGAUUUGUUAAAGACGGACUACUGCGAAANCANNNGCCAAGGAUGUUUUCAUNGA
This 380-nucleotide ribosomal RNA is filed under the name uncultured eukaryote. RNAcentral's name for it is "partial 18S ribosomal RNA". It matches the Rfam family "Eukaryotic small subunit ribosomal RNA", at positions 592 to 976 of the family's 1831-position model. The record is from RNAcentral.